CUGCGCGGAGAGCGGCAUAGCAGUCACCCAACCAAGCGCACGGCAGUUCCGGAGAAGACCAGAAGUGCGAGCAGCCGGAAGUGCGAGUGACUUCCGUCACGGCGUGGUGCGGACAAGAGGAAGCAUGAGGUUUCGGCUGCCUGGCCGAAGAAGCGAGCCAAGAGGGCCCCGAGUGUGCCUGAGCUGAAUGCUAAGACGAGCUUAGAGGAGUACAGCAUCUUGCCGCUGGUCUCCCAGGGUAAAUGGAAAAACAAGGAGUGAGUGCUUAUUUUCUCUUCUCGUUGAAUUAAUUUCAGAACAAGGCAUCUAAUGCAAGACUUAAGAAUGUUGAUGCCUCACUCUAAAGCAGAUACUAAAAUGGACUGUAAAGACCAGUUGUCUGUAAUUAAUGAGGUGUGUGAAAAGAAAAACUGCAAGAAGUGCAUCUUUUUUGAAGCCAAAAAGAAACAGGAUCUCUAUAUGUGGUAAGAAAAUGUUAUGUUUUCUUACAUUUCCAUAUAUAGCUGGGGAUGCUUCUGUUCUAUCUAAAGUUUGCUACUGUAAUAGUGAAGAUGUGUGAAAUGUUGUUGCUUAGUUAUAUCUGUGCUAAUCCUGCACUUUUGUAGGUAGUGCAAGCUUACAAUGCAUGACCAGCUUUCAUAGACUGUUUACAAAAGCUUUUUACAAAAUUGUCUAGAAAGUAUUUUUUAAGUAUGUUAAAGGAACUCAAUAAUGCUAUAAAAGCAACUGAAAUUACUUCAAUACAGAAAUAACUGGUUGGAGUAUACUAUAGAAAUCCAACGUACCUUCUGGCUGCUGUUAACAUUUUUCUUUUCUCUUCCCCGUGUCGUGGU
Harpia harpyja (harpy eagle) is the source of this 833-nucleotide long non-coding RNA. RefSeq lists it as uncharacterized. The record is from RefSeq and is a predicted model, not a curated record. NCBI's taxonomy places the organism in Eukaryota, Metazoa, Chordata, Aves, Accipitriformes, Accipitridae. The transcript has 4 exons.